UGAGGCUAGAUUACAUCUCUAAUGAGAAGGAUCCUGCGAGUCUGUUCAUACCGAGGCCGGCCCGAGUGCGCGAGCGGACAUUACGUGUGGCUGUCGUAAAAACCCUAUUUGUAAACAACCAGUCCUUUAACUCGGGGCUGCGUCAUAAACACGGAGCGCUUGGAAGACCACGAUGUCAUCUUCCUUCUGUCAGGAGGAUCAAAGUGAAGCUAAAGGAGUUUCAUUAACGUCAACAACUUGGACCGAACAGUUUGUUUUGCUUGAUGAAGAGCAGGAAGGGCAGCCUGGAGAGAAAGAGAAGCCGGGUUGAGCCCACUACCAUCAUCCACGUACCACGAGGAAGAUGAGGGAGAGAAAUGAUCCUACCAUUAAAGAGACUGUGAAAAGAACGUUGAGAACAUCACCACUCUACAGGAAGACACAGUCCAGUAAUGGGUGUCAGAAGUUCAGUAGUGAACGACAGAAACAAACAAUCAAAAUUACCUGCAGAAAGCCCUUGAUGGACGCUUCAGCUGCAUCGUCAGACUGGCAGUACUGAUGCAUUUACUGAGAGGGGACGUGAGGGCCUACUCUGCGUGCUCAGAGUUCAAGCCCAGCAGGCUGCAGCGGGCCUGACAUAUUCUGGAACAGCAGCACAGUCUUUAGAUGACUCCUCUGAAGAUGAAAACAUGGCGAGGUACUUCUCCACUGAUGAAGAACUGUGAGGGCUGUGA
This is a long non-coding RNA of Pleuronectes platessa (European plaice), 713 nucleotides long. RefSeq lists it as uncharacterized. NCBI's taxonomy places the organism in Eukaryota, Metazoa, Chordata, Actinopteri, Pleuronectiformes, Pleuronectidae. The record is from RefSeq and is a predicted model, not a curated record. The transcript is spliced from 5 exons.